Molecule: long non-coding RNA, 1912 nt
Organism: Phasianus colchicus (ring-necked pheasant)
Lineage: Eukaryota; Metazoa; Chordata; Aves; Galliformes; Phasianidae
Source: Ensembl
AUUUCAUAUGAGAACAAAAGAACCAUCUCCUUAGUCUCUUGUCUCUUACCUUUCAAAAGGGCUACAAGUACUUACCUCUUUUUUUCUUUUUAAGCAGACCUUCUUGCUGGUGAUUUAAUUACCAUCUCACUGAACUCUCCUUGGUGCAUCUCUUGAACUUACAGUGCAUCACAUGAGAAAAAUCAACUCCUUAAUCUGGCCCAGGUCUGUGUGAGCGCUUACGUGGUACUAUUGAGAAGAAGGAACAAGAAGAUGAAUGAGGCAGGACUGCAUCUUUAAUGGAAGUUACUAUGAAACAAAUUACAGACAUGGAGGUGAGACUACUGCAAAAACCAUGAGCCAAGGCUUUUCAUCUUUGCAGCAAGUGAAUUCCCACUGGUGGACCGUCUUCUUCCUGUGUACUUGUCAUUCAACAUUUUGUUGGCAACUUUGGCAAAAUCUUGUAACAAAACAACUGUACAAAAACCAUCUUUGAACUGCAUAUUUAAGAAAAUAAUAUUUUCAAUAUUGUUAUUACAAUAAUUUAUUUUACAGUUCUAAACGAUAGUGAUGGUUAACUUUUUUCCUGCAUCAAUUAUUUCCUUGUUUUUUACUCUUGAAAUCCUUGGGAAUUAUAUUCUAGUGACAUCUGUUAACACUGUUGAACUUAACAUGUAAUUAGUAAGGGGGAAAAAAAAAAGAAAAUAGAAAACAAAAGCCCAUGCCAAUCUAAAUAUACUUGAAAGGUGCCAGAUUGAUAACUCUGGAGAAUUGAGUCCUCUGUUUAUCCUCUGAAUUAGCAGAGGAAAAUCAAUGGCAGCAUAAACUUGCUCAUGUCGCCCUGAAAUGUCUUGUGUUCGCUCAGCUGUGAGAGUAGCCCAGGUUUCAUAUUGCCUGCAGUCUUUAGGAUCCCAGUAGGAAUCAUAUGAAGGAUGUUGUCCUGUGGUGGAAGAACUGCACUGAGAAUGCGAAACUUCUAUCAGAUAAACUUCUGACCAUCCAUCCAAGGUCAAGCUUUGCAGCUCCAGCAUAGAUUACAAAUGGUGAUUUUGAAUUAAAAGGCUUUGUAGUCCAUUCUCAUUCUUCUAUCUAUCUGAUCCCCCGGUGUGUUUUAUUUAAUGCAUAAGCUUCCAUUGACAUGACAGAGCCAGAGGCAUUACAAUCUAUCAUGUCAAGACUUCGUACAUUAGCAGUUCUUGUUAGCACGCAUUGGCACAAUACACUGUAAUAGUUCUGAAUUAUACUAAUGAUCCAUGGAUAAUGGGUCACAGGGAGAUUUUUGAACCAUACCUUUAAACCAAUGCCACAGAGCUUUUAGGAUGUGUCAAAGAGCAUGGAGGCUUGGCACUAUAACAUGCUUUAAUGCAUCUUCAGAGCACCUUAUCUUGUGUGCUUUGCUUUAAUUGAGAUUAAAUGGCUUUGAAGGACCUAACACAAUUUCAAGGACAAUGCAAUAUCUCAUAUUCUCAGUGAAAGGUUUCAAAUGUAUUUCCUUAAAGCUGAGACAAAUAUUCCAUACAAACACAUUAUACCAAACUGAUGUUAAAGGUCUGACUCAAACUUAGAGGAGCCAACACAAUUAGAAUUAAAAGCAUGGCAUACUAUUCCUGAGGCUGUGACUAGGAUGGGGAUGAGAGAAUUGCAUGGGAUCUUGGGUUAUGCCAGAGCACCAAAUAGCAAAAUAGUAAUGGAAGCAAUAAUCUGGAAAGGAGACUACUUUCAUUUUUUAGGCACCUAGAUACUGUUGAAAGGAACAUCUAAUUUGGGCCAGGAAAAAAUGAUGACAAUAUUCUUCUGGAGAUGUAUGCUCUGAAUAUUUCACAUGAUAUCAGGGCAGGAACAGAACUAUCAUGGAAGUUAAGUGUAGUUUGUACUUGAGUCUUUAAUACGUUCCUGUAACAGUGAUUUAAAAUAAAAAAAGAUUCAGCCCCCA